GUGAGGAAUAUUGGUCAAUGGGCGGGAGCCUGAACCAGCCAAGUCGCGUGAAGGAAGAAGGAUCUAUGGUUCGUAAACUUCUUUUGCAGGGGAAUAAAGUGCAGGACGUGUCCUGUUUUGUAUGUACCCUGAGAAUAAGGAUCGGCUAACUCCGUGCCAGCAGCCGCGGUAAUACGGAGGAUCCGAGCGUUAUCCGGAUUUAUUGGGAUUAAAGGGUGCGUAGGUGGUUUGAUAAGUCAGCGGUGAAAGUUUGCAGCUUAACUGUAAAAAUGCCGUUGAAACUGUCGGACUUGAGUGUAAAUGAGGUAGGCGGAAUGCGUGGUGUAGCGGUGAAAUGCAUAGAUAUCACGCAGAACUCCGAUUGCGAAGGCAGCUUACUAAGCUACAACUGACACUGAAGCACGAAAGCGUGGGGAUCAAACAGGAUUAGAUACCCGAGUAGUCC
This 445-nucleotide ribosomal RNA is filed under the name uncultured bacterium. RNAcentral's name for it is "partial 16S ribosomal RNA". It matches the Rfam family "Bacterial small subunit ribosomal RNA", at positions 354 to 796 of the family's 1533-position model. The record is from RNAcentral.